This 429-nucleotide ribosomal RNA is filed under the name Bacteroidota bacterium. RNAcentral describes it as "Bacteroidetes bacterium partial 16S ribosomal RNA". It matches the Rfam family "Bacterial small subunit ribosomal RNA", at positions 355 to 776 of the family's 1533-position model. Lineage: Bacteria; Pseudomonadati; Bacteroidota. The record is from RNAcentral.
UAGGGAAUCUUCGGCAAUGGGGGGAACCCUGACCGAGCAACGCCGCGUGAGUGAAGAAGGUUUUCGGAUCGUAAAGCUCUGUUGUUAAGGAAGAACGAGAGUGAGAAUGGAAAGUUCAUACUGUGACGGUACUUAACCAGAAAGGGACGGCUAACUACGUGCCAGCAGCCUCGGUAAUACGUAGGUCCCGAGCGCUGUCCGGAUUUAUUGGGCGUAAAGCGAGCGCAGGCGGUUAGAUAAGUCUGAAGUUAAAGGCAGUGGCUCAACCAUUGUAGGCUUUGGAAACUGUUUAACUUGAGUGCAGGAGGGGAGAGUGGAAUUCCGUGUGUAGCGGUGAAAUGCGUAGAUAUAUGGGAGAACACCGGUGGCGAAAGCGGCUCUCUGGUCUGUAACUGGCGCUGAGGCUCGAAAGCGUGGGGAGCGAACAGG